UGAAUCUCUCUCAUCUCUCUCUCUGUAGUUUAUGCCAGCGAGUCCAGCUCUCCAGGGGCCCUAUAUCCCUCCAUACACUCACAUGCAGACCACCACCGUCUCAGUAGAGGAGAACAGUCCACAACCUCAGGUGGAAUCGUCCAGUGAUCAUUCACCUUAUACCUAUCAGCAGGCCAAGUGAUGAAGAGUGUUGUCGGGGUUUGAGAGAGAAGGAGACGACUGCUAAAUCAAUAACAGCUUCCUUUGAAGGACCCGCUCUACCGAUGAAUCAACAUUUUGCACAGGUUCUACGAUGAGUUCCUCCGUUUUUAUAAUAAAACUACUUCAACUAUUUUGGUAUAAGUUCCAUUAGGUGCAAAUCAAGGAUUCAUUUCAUCAGAGGAUGCUAACAAAGAAAAAACAAAAUGGGAAGAAAAAGAAAAGUUUUAUUUUACUAAGGAAACGACGCUUAUUUUUUACCAAGGAUCGUCACAUAGAUGCAGGAACUUCAUCAUGCGACUCGACGUGCAUGGAGAUUCUUCUUAUUUUUAUGAUUUCAGAUUUGUUUUCUCUCUUUCUCUCUCUUCUUUUGUACUGAAACAGACGUUCGUUUUUAGAGAUUUAUCAGCCGGACAUCCUGAGAAAGAUGCGUUUGUGCUUGCGGUGUGAGUGUCGUUGAUGUGUUUUUGUCGUGUGCUUCGUCUUCGGUCUGACCGAUCUGUCCAUCUUAUACGAUUUGCCUUAAACUCUUUCCCGUACAGUAGCCGAAGAAAAGACGUCCGGCUGCUGCCUUGUAAAUCAGCUGAAUAGGGCUUUUUUAGCAUCUCGCAAAGGAACAUCGCGCUUGGAUUUCGGUGUUUUGCUUUUUCCGAUCUUUUAGAGUACAAACCGUUUCGAGUGAUAACAUUGAUGGAGUUUUAAUAGGAUUUAAUGUUUUUAUAAUCAGAGGUGACGAUGAGCCUUUGGUUGUUUGAAUGUGGUAGAAAUUCUGCUGAACGAUCACAUUUUUGAUAACUGCCUUUUCGUUUAUAAAUCUUGGUGUUGUAGUUUAGCUUUAGAUGAGCUCCUGUGGGAGGGGGAGGAGCUUUGUCUUGUAUUCUAAUGAGGGGGCGGAGGGAGGCGUGGCCUGUCAGAUCGACUAUAGUUCAGAGUAAAACCUUACUUCACCAAAGACAGUCAGCAAGCGGAUAGUGCGGAUGUGACGUCAUAUUCUCUUGAGGCGGGCCACGCUGAGACUUUAUAACAGACUAGGUUGCAGUUGUGGAGAAUGUGCCUUCUUUGUACAUAUGCAUUCAGCUGUCUUUAGUUGGCGAGGUGCGGACACCGAUUUGAAGGACGAUUUGGAUCCAGCAAGUGCCACAAACUAAACGAAAACAUCACUACAGAGCGGAGACAACUGAAACUAAAACAGGGAAUGAGGACAGGUUGAAACGACGGCUCCGUUCCAAAUCCCUCGUGAGCUGCCUACAUAGUUCAGUAAUUCUACAUGAUCCACAUGCAUCAUGCAAAUAGAUUUCAGUGGAGCUUUCCAUUUGAAUAUUAGCAGUAAAAUUACAGUACGAAGCACAGAAAAAUAUUAGUUGGUUUUCAUUAGAAUUGAACUAUUUUUAGCUGCUUUUCUGUUUUGAAUAAAUUAUCUUUAUAUCCAACAGUUUUUGGAUGUAUUUUUUCACCCAAAAUGCAUCAUGAAUUUGCCUUCUAAGUGAAGGAUAUGUGUGAUGCUUCCUUAGAAUGUGACAAAAGUAGGUAUCAUACUGCCUAAGUACCGUAUUUUGCGGAAAAUAAGUCACUAUAAGUCACACCGGGUCAAAAUUGCAUUGUUGAGAGAAAACAAACACAGAUAAGUUGCAGUUUUAUUAUUACAUUCAGAAAUAAUGUAAAAUACAGGUGCAUUAUAUAAUUGCAUUAUAUAAGUUGUUUUGGUAUAUAUAAGUCACACCGGGGCAAAAUUGAGAAAAAAGACUCGGAUAAGUUGCAAUUUUAUUACAUUCAGAAAGAAUGUAAACUACAGAUAAAAUUAACAUUUACAAACAUAAACACUAUAAGCAUGUGUUUUAGUUCCCCUCGCUGUACAAUAAAUCUUUUAAAUGUAAUGUUAUUUAGAACAGGAAUGAAAAUAAAACAAAUUAUAGCUGCAUUCAUUAUAAACAUCAGACAUGUAACUCCAACCAACAUGUUUGCAUGCUUGAUGUUAAUAAUUGCAUCAUAUAAAUUGUUUAUAUAUAUAUAUAUAUAUAUAUAUAUAUGCAACAUUUUUCAGGUAAUAAAAAAAAUUAGAUUUUCCAGAAAAUACAGUUGGCAGCUCACAAGGUUUUAGGACACAGCCUUUGAAAUAAUAAUCGCAUCCAUUACAGGAAAAUGUUUUUAUUCUCUUUUAAACUCACAAUAUAGUUUAUUAAGGCUUUAUUCAUUAAUUUGUCUUCCAAAAGACUGUGUUUUUGACCUGGUGGGUCUUGUUGACCGGUUAUCUACCUCAGAGUUUUGUUGUCCUCUGUUUUGAUUGGUCGGGCAGCAGGUUCAGCCCGCCCCUCCAGACCAAACGGCCAGCUCUGGAGCUGCCCACUUACACUUGAUUUCUUUCAGGUUUUUUUGUUUUGAAAUACUUUAAUCCUCUUCUUCUUCUUCAAACAGAAAAGUUUUCUUUUAUUAUUUUUAUCGUUAUAAGGAAAGUUGUGCAUUGAAUGUGUCGUUUUAGUGUUGUUUAGCAUUCAGAUUCAUCGUUUCGAAAGCAAAAAAACUGCUGCUUUUCAUCACAAGAUAUUCCAGUAGUCCAUAGGAAGUAGAGAAGAAAGUGUGCACGCGAGAGACGGAGCCAAUGAGAAACAGCGAUGCUGAAAGUUGCGGUUUUCCCGACACAUCACUGUUGUAUGGAAGCUCGUUUCUGCCACAGAAUAAAAAUUAAAAAAAG
Long non-coding RNA from Sinocyclocheilus grahami, 2887 nucleotides. RefSeq lists it as uncharacterized. The transcript is spliced from 3 exons. Lineage: Eukaryota; Metazoa; Chordata; Actinopteri; Cypriniformes; Cyprinidae. The record is from RefSeq and is a predicted model, not a curated record.